CCUACGGGAGGCAGCAGUAGGGAAUAUUGCUCAAUGGGGGAAACCCUGAUGCAGCAACGCCGCGUGGAGGAAGAAGGUUUUCGGUUUGUAAACUUCUUUUGUUAGAGAAGAAAAUGACGGUAUCUGACGAAUAAGCCCCGGCUAACUCCGUGCCAGCAGCCGCGGUAAUACGUAGGGGGCAAGCAUUAUUCGGAUUUACUGGGUGUAAAGAGCGCGUAGGCGGGAGUGCAAGUCAGAUGUGAAAGCCUAGGGCUUAACCAUCGGACUGCAUUGGAAACUGUUCUGCUGGAGUAUGGGAGAGGUAGGUGGAAUUCUUGGUGUAGCGGUGAAAUGCGUAGAGAUUAAGAGGAAUACUAGUGGCGAAGGCGGCCUGCUGGAACGUAACUGACGCUGAGGCGCGAAAGCGUGGGGAGCAAACAGGAUUAGAUACCCUAGUAGUC
Molecule: ribosomal RNA, 440 nt
Filed under: uncultured bacterium
Lineage: Bacteria
Description: partial 16S ribosomal RNA
Rfam family: Bacterial small subunit ribosomal RNA
Source: RNAcentral